CACCUGCACACAAAUGCACUAUUGUCCCUUUCUAGUAGCCAUAUUUGGAACUCUUCCUGUGUCAAGGAGCUUGGCAAUAGAUGUGUAAUGAAGUGAGAAUUCUAAAUGUAUUUCAAGUUUAAGGCCAAAAUAACUGAAUUGAAAAGCCAUGUUUCCAUUUCAGCUACUCUGGCCUGAAGUUUGAAAUUCACUUUGAAUUCUCACAUUGGUGAAUAACCGUGUGAGGUAUUUCUGACCCCGGUGCUAGAUGUCAGGCUUGCAUAAUGUAUAGCUGAAAUUAAUGUUGCUAUAUAAUGGAGUUGACAGGACCAUUUUAAUAG
This is a non-coding RNA of Pelobates cultripes (western spadefoot toad), 320 nucleotides long. Lineage: Eukaryota; Metazoa; Chordata; Amphibia; Anura; Pelobatidae. The record is from the annotation of a GenBank genome assembly.